UUAAAAGAAAAUUGAUAUAAGUGUUGUCUAACCACUCUUAAUCUAUCUCUAACUCUUAUAACUAGUCAAAAUGCAUUGGAUUGUGACACAUUUUGACCACAAACACACUAACAAAACUGUUUACUGUUUCUAAGAAUUUUUUUGUUGGUUUUAGCCUCUUUUGAGAGAAAAUAAGGAUAAGUAUUGUCUAACAAUCUUAAUCUAUCUCUAACUCUUAUAAUUAGUCAAAU
This 230-nucleotide small RNA is filed under the name Arabidopsis thaliana (thale cress). RNAcentral's name for it is "ATSL034880". The record is from RNAcentral. Lineage: Eukaryota; Viridiplantae; Streptophyta; Magnoliopsida; Brassicales; Brassicaceae.